GUUCUUCUUCUUCUUCUUCUUCUUUUUUUUUUUGUAGACUAGGGGAAGAAGAGUGCUUAUGUUUUUAGAAAGUGUGAUGCUUUUCUUUGACUGCCAAACUCUUUUAUGGAAUAUAUCUUUAUAUUAAUGCUGUUGUUUUGGUGGUUUUUGUUUGGAUCACAUCAAGAUGGCAUUAAGCAUCUCAGUAAACUCAGCUGCCAAGGGAACCAGUGGGAUGGGGGUGGCUAGACACGACAAAAUCAGAUGGUAAAUGCCAUCUAUUGUUGGCACAAUGUGAAAUAAAUUUUAUCAAGUGCUUUUGUAGGUUCUAUGAGCCACUUCCAAUUACCUUUUGUAUGGAGGUUACAGCUGGCACAAGCUGGCUUGUGGUUUAUGCCCAGCUAGAAGCACAAGGUAGAAAAACUUUGACUUCAUAGGCCUGCAAGAAACAUUAUUUUAGGUUCUCUCUGUCCAGCCCCAGGCAAUAGGAUCCAGGCAAAAGAGCUUGGAAGACACUGGGUUGGAAUCUGGGCUGCUGCGUGAGCUGUGUGUCCUGGACCUGCUGGCCUAUCUGUGGCAGGGAUUAGUGGCCAUGCCCACCUCGCCAGUUGCCUCCGACCCAGCCUUCCCUGGGGGAGUUGGUGGCCCCAGACCUUCCCUGCUGGUGUGUGGACGGCUCGUGGACAGCUCCUGCUGUCUCAUUUAUCAUGUAGACCUCGUAGAUGGAUCCUUUGCAAGUCUCAUCACAGGUCACAGCUCAGUUCAGGGUAAAGUCUAGCUGUGACUUUCAGAGUUGAGUUUAUUUACCUAUUAGUUUAUACAGCUUUUGGACCAUUUUUAGCCAUCUCAUCUGACUCUGAGUAGUUGGAUGAGGACAGAAGAGAAGCCUAGGAUUAAGGGUGUGCAUAUGGUGGUCUCUAACAAAUGGACUCUGUACAGAGCCCGGUGCUGCCCUCCGGUUCCUCCCCACCCAGCCUGCCCCGAAUCCCCACCCACCCCCAUCUUCAUACGGGGAUAGAGGCCAGUGUGGGAGUUCUGCACUUCCCCUCCUAGUCCCCCAUACAUACUUUAAAGUUUCAGGGUCUUUCCUUAUCUUUCCUAUGCCCUCCUGCCCAGCUUUGCUGUAUUAUUUUUCCCCACCUCCUCUCCCUCUCAAACCAUCACACAGAUUCUUAUCCCAACAAGUUUUCCCUGGCCCUCUCGCUUUCCCCCCUUUCUUUCCCAAGCAGCUUCUUGUCUGGGCUCUCUGCACCCCUCCCCACCACAAUACACCACUUUCCUCACUUGACUAAAAGCUGCUCACCCUGGUCACCAAACUCAGCAUCUUUCUUAACCUCUGCAAUAUCUAACAGGCUUGACCAUCCCUUCCUCAGAAUCUUAGCUGCUUUGGCCCAGCAGAGGUAGGAGGCCUCAGCCCAGCAGCAGGGGCCAUCUGAUCACUUCUUGGCCGGCAGCCUAAGCAUGGACUGCAGAGGCACCGAGGGGGAGGGGCUGUUGCAGCAGUCCCAGCAGCCAAGGACUGUCCUGGGAAGGGCCUGCCCAGGCCUCAGGUCCUCAGCCCUGUGCCCCAGGGGUCAGGUGCCCUCAGCUGUACUGGAUGAGUGGGAUGGCUGUGUGACCUUCACGGGUAGACUUUUCCAGCUCUAGGGUCUGUGUUUUUAAGUCAUCUGUCCUUAAACUGUGGUAACCUGUCCCCAGCGAUAGAGGUUGGUAGAGGUGCUUUUCUGUGCUUGUGUCUGUCAUCCAAGAGGAUGCUGCCCAACCUUCCAGGGCAGGCUGGGCCUGUUGUAGCACUGUUGUCAUUCAUUUGGGUGCACACUCCAAAAAUCCAGAGACCCAUAUACCUUCAGGGCCUUUUUAGCUCCUUGUAAGUCAGCAUAACCUAGCUUUUCAUCCUCAAAGACUGCCAUAAAGGUAUGUUCAUUCUCACCAUACUUUUGGGGUCUCCAAGUUACCUCAGAAACCCCAAAGUGAACACGAGAUCAAGUACUGUGGUACAAAUUUGCGGGGGAGAAGAAAAUGAGGGGACAUUUAAGUGAAUACUGUUCUGCUGAAGUUACCAAUUUUAGAGAUCCCAGCUUUGGAGAAGGAGGAAGUAAGUAUUUCUGACAAAGUCCUGAGACAAUUCUUUCUUCACUGUGCUUUCUUCCUGUGCUCUGUAUUUUAUAUUUCAGCAGGGGCUUCAAAAGCAUGGUUUAAUAACCACCAAAAUAAAUUAUCACUUUGGAUGAUAAUUUUAUCACCUCGCACUUUUAAACUAGGCUCUCUUUUUAAUUUAUAAGUAAAAGCAAUUUAAGCAUAGGAGAGUGUAAAGUAUGUCUUCUGUUCCCCAGAGGCAACCACCAUUAAGUACCCUUCCAGAAAACAUUCAUGCGUAUUCAGAUAUCUUAUCUUUGUCACGUAAAUGAGAAUCAUAUUUUAUAUAGUAUUCUACAAUUAAUUUUGCUUAAUGUACCUCAGAACUAUUUCUCUAUUGGCUCAUACCCAUCCAUUCCAUGGUGCAUUUUCAGUCACACUGUCCGUUGCAGAACUGCCACAAGUGAAUGAACCUUGCUCUGUACAGGGGAGUAUGUUUACAGUCCCAGGUAACAGAAACCCAGUUCAAACUGGUCUAAACAAUGAGGGGAGGUUUUUGGCUCCUGAAGCUGGAAAGUCCGGAGGUGGGGUGAGUUUCAGGGUUGGUUUGAUCGGAGUGGCUUAGUGAUGUCAACAGGAUCUGGUUUCCUUUCUCCUCUCUGCUCUGCCUUCCACGGUGUUCCCAUCACCCAAGGCAGCGGGAGGGGAGACCCUCCACAGACAACUUCUGGCCUCACUCUGGUGGGUAUGGCAUGGGGGUGAAGCCAUUGAGGGCAGCCUCCCUUCCCCAAUCCCCUGUGCUUGUCCAUCGCACUGAAAACGCACGGCAGGGAAAACAGGCUUUUAUGGAAGGGGAUAAACACUGGGGAGACUGCCAACAACCCCUGUUACUCUUCUGUGGGUGGAUGUUUUACUUGGUGCAGUGUUUUGCUCUUACAAGGGCUUAUAAAAACCCCGUGGUAUGUUAUUAUUUGAAUUACUUCCUAGAAGGGUUUGUAAGAAAAACACGUUUUUUAAAGUUCUCCAGCAAGGUGGGCUAAUAUCGUAAUAAGCGAGUACUCAGAGUUGGGACGUGCCUGUUACUGCCAGGCCAUGGCUGCUAUGUGUGGCGUAUGGACUGGCUGUGGCCAAAGAGGUGGCUGGUCGGGGCACAGUGAUGUCUCUCCAAGGACUACCCCAGUAGCCUGUGGCCUACAACAGCACAAAUUCCACAGGGAGGCUGAGCCAGAUAGGCAAGGGAGCCCAAACUCUCUGCCUAUGCCUUGAGAGAUGGCUGGUCACUAGGAACAGUGAUUUUGGGUGGUAUUCUUAUGUGCAGGUAAGGACAUACACUCGAGAUUCAGUGCUAUCCCGAGGUUGCUCAGGGAGUAAGCUGUAGACCCUGGGCAGACACAAGCCUGGCAUUUGCCAGCCUGGCUAUAGCUCUAGGAUGUGGCACUUGUGAUUCUGGGAGAAGCCUCAUCUCACUGAAUGCCCUGUUGCCUUGUGAUGGGGCUUUGGGGUCAGACAGCUCACUGCUUGAUCACUGCCCCCUGACGUCUGGUUUGCUUCUGCUACUGGAAGAGGAGAUGUGUGACAUGUGACCCAGGGUAAGCGCGGGGCGGCGGGGCGGGGGGAGGCGAAACAGGGAGAUCUUCGCUCUGGGGGAGUGCCUCCCCAGUGGAGAUGAGGAUGGGGCUGUGGUGGGAUCUUCUAUUUCCUCUGUGGUGCCAGGCCGAGUCCUUUGCGUUAGGACUUGUGGUGGGGAGUUCUGAGCCUGAGUUUGAACUUGGGCUCAAAAACAAAAACAAAACACCUUAGUGCCGCAGUUUCUUUAUUAAUAAAGUGGAGAUAAUUGUCUUUAUUUCACAAGGUUUCUGGGAGUAUUACAAGAGUGUAGAUGAAAGAGCUUGAUAAACUAUCGAAUCCCCAGCCACUCACCAGCCCUCCUGGCCUUUGGCAAGUUAUUUAACCUCUCUGAACCCUUUAUGUAAAAUGGGGAAAACAAUACCCCCACAUGGGGUUUUAAGGAUUAAACGAGAUGAAGCGGAUAAAGCGUUUUAAUAUAGGCACCCCCAACCUUAUUGCUUAUAUAAUUAUUGAAGAGGUUUUAUCAGUAGCCCGUAGUCCCCACCAGGCUGAGCUGCCUGGGUUACAUGUGACACGGUUCAAACUUCCAGUCAGGCUGAAAUGAAAUGACUGACUUCCCUAUCCUUUUAAGAACAAGGCCUCGAGGUCUAUGGGGAGCAUUUGGAGUUCAAGAACUGUUUACUUUCUGUGGCAUAGGGUCAGGGUGGCGGGAGAGGGAGUUUCUGCUUGUCUGGAGUGUGAGUCCUGUUAGGAACAAAUAUAGCCCAAGAAGUUGCCCCUCAAGUUCCCAGAGGAAACAAAGUGGCCCUCAUGAGCCAAAGGGAAUAGGGCUAUCUGCAGAGGCCAGGCCAGGAGAGCUGGCAUAGGGGCCAUAGCCUGCCUUCCAGGAGGGAUGGUCUGUAGGAAAAUGGGGUUAGAGUAGCUUGGAAUGGGAUGGAGGCAAGGGUCUGGAAGCAGGCAUCGCUCUGAAAAUUGUAGGACAUCAUGUCUGGAUGAGGUGGGUAGUGGAAAUGCUGGGACCUGCCCAAGGCCUUGGAGUGUGGGGCUGAGACCAGUGAAGGGGCCUGAAGCUGAGUCCAGUAGGCCCUCCGUUCCCUUCUCAUUUCUUGGACAGCCUAAGUGGACUAGAAUCCUGGUCAGGGAGGGAGGGAAGGAGGGAGGGAGUGUGUGUGUGUGUGUGUGUGUGUGUGUGUGUGUGUGUGUGUGUGUGAGAGUGACAGAGACAGAGAAGUAAGUGCAUACGUGCACAGGCUCCCGCUGUGCUUGCUCAUGCAUCCUCCACCUUCCAGGGGAAUUUCUUUGUCUAAAAACAUGCGGGAAGUCCCCCAGGGUCAGGAAAGCAGCCAGGUAAACAGUGUCUGCAUCAAGGUUCUGUUCUGAGGCAGGGUGAGCCCUGCGAUCUCCAGCCUCCAGCGCUGCCUAGCCUGAGUGUCCUCGCUCCUUCCUGUGCCUUUGUAAGGAGCCCUGGGUUGCUGGCCCUGUUUGCUGAUGAUUCUUUGGUCAUUCACCUGUUGUGGUGGAGCAGGCAUGCUGUGUUUUCUUUUAGUUUUGGGUCUGUUUUUCUUAUGUUUUAAAAAUGCACACAGCUGUCAUCCAAUAUGGAAAGAAUUGGAGUGGCCUCUGGGAGGGACUGAGCACCCUGUCCCUGCAUGAGGCAAGCCCAGUGUAGAUGCCUCCUUUUGGGGGUGAUGUGAAUGGGGCUGGGAGUGGGUUUUGUGUUGCACGGACUGUGGCAAGUCUUCCUCUCCCUGAGCGGUAGUGGUCCUUCCCAUUCCCUCUGUUAGAGAUACUUGAAAAAAAUGGCAUUGCUCAUAUAUAUAUGUUAUAUAUGUACACAUCAAAGGCUUUAUUUCAUUUAUUAAAUGAGGGAGCGGGUAAGAUUAACAACCGGUUUAAAGAGGAAAUCACAAUGAACUCUAAGUUUAUAUGGAGUAAAGGGAUGUUGAGACUGGCAUUGUUUUCAGUGGAAAGGGGUCUAUUGAGCCUCAUUCAGAUGUACUGUAUGCAUGUCCAUAGACAAAUAUUUUGCAUGAACUCUACAACUUCGGGAGUUGUAGAAUAGCUCAAAGGCAACAACAGUCUAGAAUCAGAAUCAGAUAAGUGGGUGUGCUCUAAACUGCAUAAUUUUUCUCUGCAGACCCUCAGAAUCUUUUUUUGCUUAUCCAAAUUUCCUUUCACUUCUUGUCCAUCUGGCAGAGCCUAUUUUUUAAAAUAAGACUCAGGCAAGAGAUCCAAAAGAGCCAAUCUCUCACUGCACAGUGAAGCCUGGGGGCUAGGGUAUCUGCCAGGGGCCCUAGGUAAGGGGCACCAUUGUGGGAGGUUCCCUGCCCUGGAAACACUAGCUGCCUUCUCAUUCGUGACUGAUGACUCAGGCCAUCUGCUGCCCAGAGAGCCUGGGUAUCAGCGAAGCUACUUUAAACUGGAUCUCUGUCUAUUCCUGUAGACACCUCAGUCAUCAGAUCCAAAACUGAAUUUCUCGUCUUUCCUAACCCCAAAUCCCGCCCACACCCACACUCCUCCCCAUCUUCUCCCAUGUCACCUAAGGGCACCCCCAUCUACCAGUGGCCAAAUCUAGGAUUGUGAGUUUUGCCUGGGCUCUAAGGAUGACAUCAGCUCCUCCAUAGACAAGAUCAGGUCACCUAUUCAAAAACUUGACACUCUCAUCUAACCAACAGAUCCUAACACUUCACUCCCUAGAACAACUGUCAUGACAGAGCUCAAUGUCAUUCUCUUUUUCCUUCUGAAUGAGUCCUGGGACUCCUUGUUUGUAAUAUGUACAUUUGAAUAUCUUUUCAAGCAUAACUGCAUUUUGAAGUGAGUUUACCUCCCUUCUCUGUGGAUCUGGUCAGUGCUGGCUCCCUGAGAGCCAGGGAGCCGUGUGUAUGUGUGUGUGUGUGUGUGUGUGUGUGUGUGUGUGUAUCAAAGAAACAAAAAAAACAAUUUGGGGCAGGGUGGUCCACAGCCUCCUGUUGUGUGGCUUUCUCAAUCACUUUUUCUGCUUUCAUCUAUACCAGUCAGGAUCCCUGACUUCUAGUCGUGUUAUAUGGAGCAACUGAGCUCACCCCAGCUUGCCUCCCAAAUGUGCAUAUCCAAACAUAGCGACGUUUCUAGAUCUUGGGCCUUUCCUUUUAAUUGUAUCUCUUUACUCUCCUUAGAAUGAAGUGGUGGUUAAAAUGUUGUUUUCCCUGAUGUAUAAAACUUGGUCCAUACUACACAUAAUAUUUUACAGCUUGCUUUCCUCCUUAGUAAUACAGUGUGAGCACCCUUUUAAGCCAACAAAAAUUUUUCUCAGUAUCAUUUCUAAUGGCUGUAGAGCAUUUUAUCCUGAGAUGUGCGAUGAUUUAUUUAUCUAAAUUCUGUUUAUUGAACUCAUCAAUUAUUUUGAAAUUUUCACUACUAAUAAUGUGGUAAUUAUUCUUAUAUAUGCCACAGAAUCCCCAGAGAUCAUAACUUCUGAGGGAUGUCCUGGUAGGAUCCAGUAACAGGAGAGGAUCUAGUUAAUUAUAUCUGUUCUGCUUAUUGAAUGAAUAUCCAUCUUCUCCCUCAUAUUAUUUACCAUCAUUUUGAUCAUAUAUUAAAUUAUUACAUAUGUAUUUAGAUCUGCACCUGGGCUCUCUCACUUCAAUCUGCCCAUUCUUGUGUCAUAACUGAAAUGUUUGAUUAUAUACAUUUGAAGUAGAGUUUACUUUUCCUCAUUAUUCUGUAGGCCAUUCUCAUUCUGUUCUUUGGCUAAUAUGGGAGUCAUUUUAUCAAGCCUCUCUCCCACUUCCCAAUUAAUUUUUAGGUUUGGCUUGAAAUUGUAUUCAAUGUAUAAAUUAAUUUGAGAUUUUAUUAGCCAUGUAUGAAUGCAGAACCUGGAAAUUUAGCAUUUUAAAACAAUGCAUAUACAUAUAUAUCCAUCUCCUACCCUUUCUGAGGGUCAGGGAUCUAGGAAUGGCUUUGCUGAGUGAUUCUGCCUCAGAGUCCCUGGUGGGUUUCAGUGCAGCUGUUGGCCAGGGUUGCAGCCUCACCUGACCAGAUCCUCUGCCAACUUUGCUCAUGUGACUGCUGGCAGAGGCUUUAGUUCCUCACCAUGUGGGUCUUACAACAUGGUUUCCCCAGAGUGAGUGAUGAAGGGAGGAGAGAGAACCCAAAACGGAAGCAGAAAUGUCUUUUAUCACCUAAUCACAAAAGUGACAGAUCAUCACUUCUGGCAUAUUCCAUUGAUCGCACAGACCAGCCCUGAUAAGUGUGAGAGGGGCCACACAGGGCCAUGAAUGCCAGGAGGCAGGGAUCAUCAGAGCCACCUUGGAUGCUUACUAACACGAACUGCACACUUUUCAGUAUUAGAUCUUUCUGAUUGUGAAUGUGUUAUGUUCCUAUACCAAUUUAAAUCCUAAAUAUGUUCUCUUCAGUGAAGAUUUUUACUUUUCUUCAUACAGGUCCCCACAUUGUUUGUUAAAUUCAUUCCCAGUAUUUCAUAUCUGGUUCUGAUUUGAACGAGAUCUUUUUUACAUUGUAUUUUCUAAGCAGUUACUUGUUGCAGUCAUACAGGGACACCAUUGAUUUUUAAGGCCAUGAUUUUUUCAGUAGAGCUUAACUGGUGAUAAGGCAGAAACUGCUCUAGACUUUCACUAAGCCCUUAGAUAACAAAACUGAGACCAGGUGAGAUCCUAAAUGUGCUCUUGGGAGCAGUUUCUCCAAGUGACUAUGUGCUGGGGACGUGGGUGAAAUAUAAAAAGAGUUCUCCUGUAGCUGAUCCUUAUGUGGCUGUGGUGAGGCAUUCCCAAAGCCAAGAUGAUGGGGUUCUUUGGACAUCACUUAGCUCUGCCUUUGAGGGAGCCUAUGGUCAGGGCACGAGGGAACAGCCAGGGCAGGUGGCCUAUGGCAGGGCUAUCAGUCCACCUAGUACCCCACGGAUGCAGCCCAUAUGCCCAUGACUCCCAGGUCCACGUUUCCAGCAACCUCUCCCUAGAGUCCUGUCCUGGACACCUCCUCAGCAUUUGCACAGGCUCUAAUUAAUUCCUCUACGAAAGUUCCUUCAUUCAUUUUCUUUUCCAAUAGGUAUUUUUCUAGCACCUACUGCAUGCCAAGCGAUGUUCUAAGCCCUGAGGACAUCAGUGAAACACCUGCGUCCUUGUGGUGCUUGUUCUCUACUAAGGAGAGAGAAAAAUGCAACAAAUAAGUAAAAUGCCUGAUGUGUCUGUGGAAAGCCAAGGAGGAGGAUGGUGAUGGUGAGGGAAGGAGCGUGGUGGGAGGGGCUAUCUUAGGAGGCAGAGGUAGGCGGGGUAGAGAGGGGUAGCGAUACAGAUGAUCAAGGGCUUUAUGGGUCCCUGUAAAGACUUGGGCUUGGACUCUGAAUAAAAUAGGAGCCACUGCAAGGUUUACAGUAGGGAAUGACAUGAUCUGAUUUAAAAAGAUUUUAGGUGGAAGCAGAGAUAUAUGAUAUGAGGCUCUGGGAUGAGGAUUGUUUCCCAUUUCUGCCCUCCUUGGUCCCCACUGGCAACUCCGCUACGGUCCUUAUCUCAGCUCUCCUAGACUUUGGCCAAAGUCCGCUGACUAUUCUCCUUGCUUCUUGUUCUUCCAGUCUCCUCUCCACAUCAGUGCCAGAGCUGUCUGACAAAUGCCUCCAAGCCCUUCUCCAGCUUAGAAACCUCUGGUGACAUAAACUGUUUAUCCAUUCCAACAGUCUAGCCUUCUUGGUUAAGGAGGUUUGGCUUUGCUCACCUCUGUUCCUCUUUGGGGGUUGGUGCCAUUGUAAACAACGCUGUGCAUGCGGCUCCCUGGCUCACCAGCACUAACCUCUGGAGGCCAAUUUUUUGGAGUCACAUUUUUAGGACUUUUGAAAUAUAUUUUAUUUCAGUCAUAUGAAUUAUAUGUGUAUCUUAUUCACUGGAUAAAACAAUAUGAAAUUAUCUAACGUGGUCUCCCUUCCCCUUCCAAGAAGAAAGCAAAAAAACCAUGUGUGUUCCUCCAUAAUUUUUCCUUUGUCCACACAAAAGUAAUCAAAUAUAAAGACGUUAAAAAAUGGA
Pteropus alecto (black flying fox) is the source of this 9635-nucleotide long non-coding RNA. RefSeq lists it as uncharacterized. NCBI's taxonomy places the organism in Eukaryota, Metazoa, Chordata, Mammalia, Chiroptera, Pteropodidae. The record is from RefSeq and is a predicted model, not a curated record. The transcript is spliced from 2 exons.